AGAGUUUGAUCCUGGCUCAGGAUGAACGUUGGCGGUCUGCUUAACACAUGCAAGUCGAACGGAACUUUUCGGAGUUCAGUGGCGGACGGGUGAGUAACGCGUGAGAAUCUGCCUUCUGGUCGGGGACAACCACUGGAAACGGUGGCUAAUACCGGAUGAGCCUACGGGUAAAAGAUUUAUUGCCAGAAGAGGAGCUCGCGUCUGAUUAGCUAGUUGGUGAGGUAAAGGCCCACCAAGGCGACGAUCGGUAGCUGGUCUGAGAGGACGAUCAGCCACACUGGGACUGAGACACGGCCCAGACUCCUACGGGAGGCAGCAAUUAGGAAUCUUGCGCAAUGGGCGAAAGCCUGACGCAGCGACGCCGCAUGGGGGAGGAAGGCCUUCGGGUCGUAAACCCCUUUUAACGGGGAAGAAGAAUGUGACGGUACCCGUUGAAUAAGCCCCGGCUAACUACGUGCCAGCAGCCGCGGUAAUACGUAGGUGGCAAGCGUUGUCCGGAUUUACUGGGCGUAAAGCGAACGCAGGCGGACCUUUAAGUAGGAAGUGAAAGGUUGGAGCUCAACUCUAACACUGCUCCCUAUACUGGAGGUCUUGAGUAGCGGAGAGGAAAACGGAACAAGUUGUGUAGCGGUGAAAUGCGUUGAUAUAACUUGGAACACCAAUGGCGAAAGCAGUUUUCUGGACGCAGACUGACGCUGAGGUUCGAAAGCCAAGGUAGCAAACAGGAUUAGAUACCCCGGUAGUCC
This 746-nucleotide ribosomal RNA is filed under the name uncultured soil bacterium. RNAcentral's name for it is "bacterial SSU rRNA". It matches the Rfam family "Bacterial small subunit ribosomal RNA", at positions 8 to 796 of the family's 1533-position model. The record is from RNAcentral.